Molecule: long non-coding RNA, 1881 nt
Organism: Gorilla gorilla gorilla (western lowland gorilla)
Lineage: Eukaryota; Metazoa; Chordata; Mammalia; Primates; Hominidae
Exons: 2
Source: RefSeq, a predicted model, not a curated record
GGGCCGGGAUUAUAGACAUUAGACGUCGUUGCCGGGGGAGCCCUCCAAACAUCCAGAAAUGCCACGGCCAGGACCGAGUGACGCAGCAGAAUCGCCCAAGGGGCAGGGGGGCAGCCUGGCCAGAAGAAAAUGAGGGAGGGGCCGCGCGUGAGGUUCGGCAGGGGAGAACACAGGCCUCCGGCGGCCACGGACGCCGCUUUGCCAUUUUGAGCGUUUCUGGGGAGGACAACGCGCGCAGGAAGCGCAGUCAUCUCAAGCUGACUUCCAAGGCUACCGGGUUCGAGGGCUGGAGCCGGGUCUGAAAGCCCCGACCCGCCUAUGGCGCGGGGACCGUGGGUCCAGCCGGCCGCUUGGCCCCCUCGCUCGGCCCCGGUCCAGGCGCAGCGCUUGGGCCCCGGGGACGGUGAGAUGCGGCGCGGCCAGCUUAGCUCGGGGUAGAGGCCACCCCAGCCUCGCCCCAGCCGGCCGGGUCCGCGACCUCGGGAGGGUCCGGUCCUUCCCUCGGUCCCCGCGACGCCGCGCCCGGAUGAGGCCCUGGGCUUCUUGCCGGUGACCAAGCGGCCAGGGUGGCCCCCAGCCCAGGACGGCUACCAAGGGCGGCCCAGCCCCAUCCCCGCGCCGCGGGUCCCGGAACCGAAGAGCUGGGAGCGGGGGCUCCCUGACAACAUGGCGGCGGCGCCCGGGCGCCUCCCCGGGUCCCGGGUGUCUGCGUCUCCCCGCGAGGGCGUGGGCAAAGCCGGUGCCGUCCGACGAUAGGAAGCGAAAGGAACCCAGGACCAGACCCGCGGGGCGAACAGUGCUGGAGGACCAUGCACCGACCACGCCCGAAGCAGAACCAAGGCCCGCCCUGUUGCCGUGCCGACUGCGCGCGGGGUGGACGCAGGCGCCGCAAGCCGGGAGCUCUCAGUGCAGGCGCAGUAGGCUGCGGGGUUGAGACGCAUUGCGUGCGCGUGCGCGCUGCUCACACGCGGACGGUUCUGUGCGCCGCAAUGGCCGCCCGCGAGUAUCGGAGAGGCGGAGCUCUCAGUCUUUUUCAGGACCGGGUCUCCUGAUGCCGCCGGUGGUUCCUCGAGGCCCCCUUCCACGCAUCCGCCGCCGCUGCUUCAUCAGGACUUCAUUUCGGUGACGCAGAGCUUUGGCGAGAGCUACGGCAACAGCAAGAACUGCCGGCGGCUCUUGUGCUGCAGGGUGAGGACCGCGCCGGGUUGACCGAGGCCCGGGGUCGCUGCGCCCGCCGCCCUCCCAGCCUGCGGCUCCGAGCGGGGCCUGGGCGGGCAGACUCGACUCCCCCGACGCCGCCCUCUCCACCCUUACCCCGCAAAAAGGGGCAAAUCUGCUUUCCGGGCCGGGGCAGCCGUGGUCGGCACGCCUGCAGCCGUCUCAGCGGCCCAAAUUCUGCGGGGCGGUGGUGGUGGGAGGAAGGAUUGGAGCCCCAGCAGGUUGUCUGGGCUUCGUUUGCUUUUCGGCAAGGUCCUGGCCCAGGCCCCAGUCCCUCUUGGAGCGGAAACCUCUGGACCUGUUGCUCCUAAGAAAGCAAGCGGCCCCUGACGCGUUGCUGUGGCCUGGUUUGACCCUCGUAGCCAGCCCAUGUUCUGUGAGGCAUGAAGCGCCACGCAGACACCACGACAAAGUCUCGCUUAGUGGCCCAGGCUGGAGCGCAGUGGCGAUCACGGCCCACUGCGGCCUCGACCUCCUGGGCUCCAGCGUGCGUCUAAUCUAGAACCAAAUCCUCCUUCCUUAGAUCAUCCCCCAAAUCACCCAACUACAGGUGAAAUCCUGUAAUAGUUUCCUCCGAACACCCUGUUGCUGAGACACCUCAACGUUUCAACCUGGUGUGUUUGUACACACAGCGUAGAGUAAAAGACCCAACUUGUUUAACUA